RNAcentral lists this ribosomal RNA (465 nucleotides) under uncultured bacterium. RNAcentral's name for it is "partial 16S ribosomal RNA". It matches the Rfam family "Bacterial small subunit ribosomal RNA", at positions 28 to 507 of the family's 1533-position model. The record is from RNAcentral.
GACGAACGCUGGCGGCGUGCUUAACACAUGCAAGUCGAACGGAAAGGCCCUGCUUGCAGGGUACUCGAGUGGCGAACGGGUGAGUAACACGUGGGUGAUCUGCCCUGCACUUCGGGAUAAGCCUGGGAAACUGGGUCUAAUACCGGAUAGGAGCCAUUUUUAGUGUGAUGGUUGGAAAGUUUUUUCGGUGUAGGAUGAGCUCGCGGCCUAUCAGCUUGUUGGUGGGGUAAUGGCCUACCAAGGCGGCGACGGGUAGCCGGCCUGAGAGGGUGGACGGCCACAUUGGGACUGAGUUACGGCCCAGACUCCUACGGGGGGCAGCAGUGGGGAAGAUUGCGCAAGGGGCGCAAGCCUGAUGCAGGGAAGCCGGGUGGGGGAUGACGGCCUUCGGGUUGUAAACUCCGUUCGCUAGGGACGAAGCUUUUUGUGACGGUACCUAGAUAAGAAGCACCGGCUAACUACGUG